ACGCACGCUGGCGGCGUGCUUAACACAUGCAAGUCGAACGGAAAGGCCCUGCUUUUGUGGGGUGCUCGAGUGGCGAACGGGUGAGUAACAUGUGAGUAACCUGCCCUUGACUUUGGGAUAACUUCAGGAAACUGGGGCUAAUACCGGAUAGGAGCUCCUGCUGCAUGGUGGGGGUUGGAAAGUUUCGGCGGUUGGGGAUGGACUCGCGGCUUAUCAGCUUGUUGGUGGGGUAGUGGCUUACCAAGGCUUUGACGGGUAGCCGGCCUGAGAGGGUGACCGGCCACAUUGGGACUGAGAUACGGCCCAGACUCCUACGGGAGGCAGCAGUGGGGAAUAUUGCACAAUGGGCGGAAGCCUGAUGCAGCAACUCCGCGUGCUGGAUGACGGCCUUCGGGUUGGAAACCGCUUUCGCCUGUGACGAAGCGUGAGUGACGGUAAUGGGUAAAGAAGCACCGGCUAACUACGUG
Molecule: ribosomal RNA, 467 nt
Filed under: uncultured bacterium
Lineage: Bacteria
Description: partial 16S ribosomal RNA
Rfam family: Bacterial small subunit ribosomal RNA
Source: RNAcentral